AACGAACGCUGGCGGCAGGCUUAAUACAUGCAAGUCGAACGCCCCUUUCGGGGGGAGUGGCAGACGGGUGAGUAACGCGUGGGAACGUGCCCAAAGGUAGGGAACAACUCCGGGAAACUGGAGCUAAUACCCUAUGUGCCCGAGAGGGGAAAGAUUUAUCGCCUUUGGAUCGGCCCGCGUUGGAUUAGCUAGUUGGUGGGGUAAAAGCCUACCAAGGCGACGAUCCAUAGCUGUUCUGAGAGGAAGAUCAGCCACACUGGGACUGAGACACGGCCCAGACUCCUACGGGAGGCAGCAGUAGGGAAUCUUGGACAAUGGGCGCAAGCCUGAUCCAGCCAUGCCGCGUGAGUGAUGAAGGCCUUAGGGUUGUAAAACUCUUUCGCAGGUGACGAUAAUGACGGUAACCUGAGAAGAAGCCCCGGCUAACUUCGUGCCAGCAGCAGCCGCGG
Molecule: ribosomal RNA, 449 nt
Filed under: uncultured bacterium
Lineage: Bacteria
Description: partial 16S ribosomal RNA
Rfam family: Bacterial small subunit ribosomal RNA
Source: RNAcentral